GACGAACGCUGGCGGCGUGCCUAAUACAUGCAAGUAGAACGCUGAAGGAGGAGCUUGCUUCUCUGGAUGAGUUGCGAACGGGUGAGUAACGCGUAGGUAACCUGCCUGGUAGCGGGGGAUAACUAUUGGAAACGAUAGCUAAUACCGCAUAAGAGUAGAUGUUGCAUGACAUUUGCUUAAAAGGUGCAAUUGCAUCACUACCAGAUGGACCUGCGUUGUAUUAGCUAGUUGGUGGGGUAACGGCUUACCAAGGCGACGAUACAUAGCCGACCUGAGAGGGUGAUCGGCCACACUGGGACUGAGACACGGCCCAGACUCCUACGGGAGGCAGCAGUAGGGAAUCUUCGGCAAUGGACGGAAGUCUGACCGAGCAACGCCGCGUGAGUGAAGAAGGUUGUCGGAUCGUAAAGCUCUGUUGUAAGAGAAGAACGAGUGUGAGAGUGGAAAGUUCACACUGUGACGGUAGCUUACCAGAAAGGGACGGCUAACUACGUG
This 495-nucleotide ribosomal RNA is filed under the name uncultured bacterium. RNAcentral's name for it is "partial 16S ribosomal RNA". It matches the Rfam family "Bacterial small subunit ribosomal RNA", at positions 28 to 507 of the family's 1533-position model. The record is from RNAcentral.